UUCAAAGCAUCGGCUGGAGCAGGGUCCCCAUUAAAGCCAGAGACGCUGACGCCAUGGGGCUGGGGUUGGGGCUGGGCCGGGGCUUUGGGAGGUCCGAACUCCCCAGCAGGGAGCCAGGGCUCUGGGCCAGUUCCCAGGCCCAGUUAAUCUUCAGUAGAAUCGAUCGACCUUGGCUCAGAGGGUUGGAGGCAGGGAUGGGCAGGGGGUGAGGGGUGAGGCGCACGAAACAGCACCCGGGUGAGGCCCCUGCUGCGGCCCCUGCGGGACCAGCCACGAAUUCCGGGCUUCAGCCCCGCCAGCUUCAGAGGCGGCGUUUUCGGUGCGACGCUGCCACCUGCUGGCUGUCUGGGAGUUGCACCCAGAGGCUCAGAACCCGUGUUUCUCAGAGGGCCCGGGAGGGGCGAAACUGCGGGUUCCCAGGCCCUCCCGGAUUCUGCGCAGGUGGACGCUGGGGGCUGUUUCACAGGCGCCCACAUGAUAGGGGAGCUGGAGGAACCUGCCGUCUCCGCCAUCGAGCGCCCCUCCGAGCUGGGGUUGGACGCUGCCAGUUUGCACAGCAGCAGGAGCCAGUAGCAGCCCCAGGACAGCUGCCGUGGGAUAAAUAAAAGGAGCCGCCUUCAGGAGCUGCCUGCCGAGUGUCCACAGAACGUAGCGUCUUCCCAGCACUCAGCGGGUCCUGAUGGGCCUCCUUCCCACCGCCCUCUUCCGAGUGUGGGGAGCUCAACCCCUGACUUGGGGUCCCGGGACAUUCAGUUUUGUGUGUGAUCAGGGAGGCAGCGCCUGACCCACAGAAAGCACCUGCUACUGGUGGGGUCUCAGAUCUGUGCACACCUGUGUCCCGGGCUCCUCACUGUCCGGGUGGUCACACUGUCCCUGCGCUGCUGGACUUGGGGGCUUGGGUGCAGCCAGCCUUGUGCUCCUCAGCCUCCCUGGUACAGGAGGACUGUCCAUCUGCCUGGCAGGGGCAAGGCCGUCUUCAGCGGAGAGACCUGGAGGCCACGUGGUCUGCUCAGAAGUACCUGCAUGCAGUUUGAUGCCCUGCUGCAGCAAUCUUGAAAUUCUUAGUAAUUUUAUCUUUGAAUGCUCGCUUUGUAAGUGCAAUCUAAGGAUGGUGGCGUGAGCAUGACUGAAGGAAGCUGGAGAUGGUCAGGGUGCGAGUCCACUGCGGAGCCAGUAGGUGCCAGUGGUUCGAGAGGCCACGCUUUCCCUUGACUCAGAGCUGGCCCCAAGUGCAGAAAGGAGGUGGUGUUGCUCUCAGAUGCCCACACAACCAAGGACACAUCCCCCCCGUCUCCCUGGGACUCCCAUGUGAGCUGGCCACCUGCACUGCAGAUGACGAUGUGGAAGGAGAGAGAAAGACAGGAGACCGCGGCUUUUCCUUUCAGUCCUUCGUACCCAACAGCAACUGAGAGGGCGUCCCGGCAGGGUAUGAAUGGCCAGCAGGACGCUGAGGCUGCGUGGCGUUUCCACCGUGCUGCAGGAACAAGAUGCACAUCGUGCAGGAGCCGCAGAGCACGCGUGCAGAGGUUUCGGUGGCUUUGCCCCGCAGCUAACGUGUGCGUGUGUGCCUUGACUUAUAUUUGCAUUACUUAGAAUGACAUUCAAUAGCAAAUGAAAGACAGCCGGCAAGUCAAUAGAGAGAAUGCGGAAGGAAGGAGAAGGCUUUGUUUGUGGCUCUGAGGGCACUUUUCCUCCUGCAUUUGCAUUUUGCACUGUGCAGAUUUGCACCGUGCAGCCACCCGGGCCUCCUCGGGUCUGGGGCUCCAUUUCCAGCACCCCCACCCAGCGCUGUGGGCCCCUCCCCCACGCACCUCCCCCACUUUGGUGGUGACAGUUGGUUGUGGAGGAACAAUCGUCAGUGAUGGGUGAACUAGCUGUGUUUCACGUGGCCUCCUCAUCACUCUGCCAAGCCCCUGGGGCAGGCACAUUUUGGCUGCCAUCGACUCUAGAAUGUUCUCUGGUGUCUCCAGGGGGUGUGCAGAGCUGGUCCCUCCCAGCGAGGAGCUCUGCUCACAGGUUCACACCCCCUGCCCUGUUCUCCAAGAUGGGAAUGUCUGAUGAGAGCCCCAGAGAAGAAUCAGCCGCUGGGGGUCGGGGAGGUGUUGGACUCUCUUGAAACAAAGGAGGCCCAAGCCUGGGGUCACGGGGCUGGGGGUGGGGGUGGGGUGGGAGGGAGUGGGCAGUGACCUGAGAACAGGAAGGGAGGUGGAGGUCUUGGGUCACGGGUGAUGGAUGAUGGAGGAACAGGCCCAGGAGGCCCUGCUUGCUGGGGGCUUCUUUCCUCUUGCGUAGUCACCCUGUGGGGGGCUCUCAAACUCACAGAGUUUGGCCGUAGGGAAGUGCAGGGGUGGCCUGGGAGGCUGCAGGCUCUGGGACAGCCUGGCUCACACAGGAGAUGGGAUGGCGCUGAGAGGAGACCCCGGGGCGCCCAGCGUCUCAGGCUAUAAGGAGCAGCCACUCAUUGUGACACCCGAUGGUGAAAUGCUGCAUUAUUAUUUAUGGUGUUGAAUAAUCACAGCACAAUCAUUGCAGGCCACAGGGCAGA
RNAcentral lists this long non-coding RNA (2545 nucleotides) under Homo sapiens (human). RNAcentral describes it as "HSALNT0270401". Lineage: Eukaryota; Metazoa; Chordata; Mammalia; Primates; Hominidae. The record is from RNAcentral.